Molecule: unclassified non-coding RNA, 439 nt
Filed under: Turnera cuneiformis
Lineage: Eukaryota; Viridiplantae; Streptophyta; Magnoliopsida; Malpighiales; Passifloraceae
Description: partial external transcribed spacer
Source: RNAcentral
CAUUCCUUUGCGACAACACAACCCGAGCGAUUCUCCCCCACCAAUAUUAGAUGUGGCAGAAUCGGCAACGGCAGCGAACGUCGUUCCUUUCGGGGCACAAGGCCACCGUACGGGGAAUAUAAGGGAGGAAAACCCCCCGCCCACCAAACUUUCCGCAUCCAAAAACACGAGCAAUGGACAUAUGGGCCAACGCAACCAGUUCGUGGCAUGCGCGGAACAAAUGCACCGCUACGAGGUCGGCCCCGUGCCGUGACAGGCAAAGGGCGAAGGGGAACAAGGGUCGUAUUCGAUUUCCACCGUAGUGGGUAAGCAGCACAGGAACCUAUCGUCGCCACGAAACAGUUUCGGGCGCUUAUACAUGAAGGGACAGAGGGAAAAUAGUUCGGUGCGCGAAGCAUGGAGCCUACAUUCCCAAACGAUCCUAACACCACUCACGCGC